Long non-coding RNA from Mus musculus (house mouse), 1053 nucleotides. RefSeq annotates it as predicted gene, 51477. The transcript is spliced from 3 exons. NCBI's taxonomy places the organism in Eukaryota, Metazoa, Chordata, Mammalia, Rodentia, Muridae. The record is from RefSeq and is a predicted model, not a curated record.
CUCUGCAAAUGGCACCUUGGUUCUGUUGAUGAUCACCGAGACUGGAACACCCGGCUUCUUCCACACAGUCCUGAUGACACUGAAGAGAACCCAGCCUGGGGGCUGCAUCUGGCACAUCCCUACUCAGUGAGCGGUGUUCGGGUGCAGGCACCAGAACUCCCAGCUUGUUCUGCUUCGGGGCUUGCUCUCUGCCUGAAUGGCCCCGACCGAACGCUGUACACUGUACGCCAGGAGCUGAGAAAGAUCGCAGGCUAAGCAAUUUGACCUCCAACCCAGCAGGUGCGACAGUGAUUCAAGGCGCAGCUGCUGCCUAAGGGAGCUCCCAGGGAAGCCACGUGUUGCAAUUGGAUGAAGAUUGAAUGCACUUUGCAGCUGGGGCCUUGGGAGAGUGAGCUGGGACUCCCACAGGAAGAAGCUGGGUACCACAAGUAGAAGAGCUGCCGAGCCACUGGUGGCGAAUCCACACACGCACCCACAGAGUGGGCUAAGUUACACACACUCGACUUAACACAGGACUAGCUUCGACUUAACCUACUGAUCCUCAAACCUGGCACUGCUGCAGGCUGCCGAGGUUCACAGGGAAGUAGCCAGUGAAGAGGGCCGAGGUGAAGCCGUUUUGCGCAAUGCUGCCCUCAGAUAUGAGCUCAGUGGUUCUUUUGGGGGCUACAGUCUAAAGAGCAUCAAGCUGAAAAUCGAUAGCUCAAUUGGCAAUCAAGCGUGUGAGUAACUGGAUGUGGGCGGGGGCUUCAUAGGACAGCGAAGAGGUCCGUGCCUGUCAUCUGGUGCCUACCAUGCCUGCUGGGCCAGGAAACUGAUGUCAGGCAUCACUGGGAGAUGAGCACCUCGGGAGCCUUACAGUCCUGUGAUGAUCAGUGUUGUUGAGGCCUAUGGAUUCACCCAGUGCCACCUCGUCAUGGCAGAGGAACCCUGAGAGAACUAGAAGCUUCUCUAAGGUGCCAACUGAAGCUUCUAGAAUGGAUGAGUCCCUGCUAUCAGGGAUAUGAUCAAAAGCCAUCCCGGUAGGCAAGACCCCUUUCUGGGUUUAAAAGCAAA